Molecule: long non-coding RNA, 1297 nt
Filed under: Gossypium barbadense (sea-island cotton)
Lineage: Eukaryota; Viridiplantae; Streptophyta; Magnoliopsida; Malvales; Malvaceae
Description: long non-coding RNA (GBAR_LNC001053)
Source: RNAcentral
UGAUCUCCAAUCACCAGUCACAAGUAAGAACACUUUUCUCGGAAAUUUUGAAGUUUAGUUCAUUUAAUUCAUGUAAUUACUGUUAAAACGUGUCUCGAAAUCUGUAGAUAAAUAUGGAGCUAAUUAGAAGCUUGGAAGUACCUAAUAUAGGUAUUGAGGAUCAAAACCAAUCAUACAAGAAUAUUGGGAUCGAUAAUGAUCGAACAGUCCCCGAUGGAAGCAAUCAACAUAAUAUAGUUGCAGCUGCAGAGAACGAAAGCUCAAUCUUGCCUUCUAAUUUACAGGACCAUCUAAUAGAUUUUAUAAAUCAAAUGGUGAGUUACUUUUAUAUUGUUCAUCAAAAAACAGGCAUAAAACAUGUUGAAAAAUCUAAUAUUUGCUUGUUCAUUAUGAUCCAGGAAUGGUCCGACUUAUACAACUUAUGCCGCCGUAAAGAUGACGGGCUUUUUCUCGACGAGUUGUUUGACGAGCCGCAAGAACUCGGACCACAAAAUCAAUGUGGUAUUAACCAGCAAGUUGCCGCUGGUGCUGAAAUAGAGUGCACCAAUUUGCCCCCUUUGGAUGUGGCUGAAUCUUCCUACUCGACGGAUUCAGUCCGUAAAAGAUUGGCCAUGGAGGUUGAAGGAUCGGGCACCGGUGUAGAAACUGAAUUGGCUCAACAACAAGCAAAGAGAAGUGAGAACUUUAUUGAUGACGGGUGGACUCAAAGUGAACAAACUAAUCAAUUUAUAACAUCCUAUCCAGUUUUCGACAGUGAGAACUUUAUUGAUGACGGGAAUGAAGUGAUCUCCUAUCACCAGUCACAAGUAAGAACACUUUUCUCGGAAAUCUUUAAAAUACUACACAUUGAGUUUAUGUUUUAUGUAUAUUUCAGGUUCGAGUAGAACUCGGUUCAGAGCCAUUAGUUGAAACUGAAGUAGCUAAUGAGUACGGAUGGACUCAAAGUGAACAAACUAAUGAAUUUAUAACUCCCCGUCCGGUUUUCGACAUUGAUGAUGGGAAUGAAGUGAUCUCCAAUCACCAGUCACAAGUAAGAACACUUUUCUCGGAAAUUUUGAAGUUUAGUUCAUUUAAUUCAUGUAAUUACUGUUAAAACGUGUCUCGAAAUCUGUAGAUAAAUAUGGAGCUAAUUAGAAGCUUGGAAGUACCUAAUAUAGGUAUUGAGGAUCAAAACCAAUCAUACAAGAAUAUUGGGAUCGAUAAUGAUCGAACAGUCCCCGAUGGAAGCAAUCAACAUAAUAUAGUUGCAGCUGCAGAGAACGAAAGCUCAAUCUUGCCUUCUAAUUUACAGGACCAU